ACGUAUACUAAAUGUAUCCUGA
Molecule: microRNA, 22 nt
Filed under: Acyrthosiphon pisum (pea aphid)
Lineage: Eukaryota; Metazoa; Arthropoda; Insecta; Hemiptera; Aphididae
Description: api-miR-iab-4
Gene: api-miR-iab-4
Source: miRBase by way of RNAcentral